RNAcentral lists this ribosomal RNA (450 nucleotides) under uncultured bacterium. RNAcentral describes it as "partial 16S ribosomal RNA". It matches the Rfam family "Bacterial small subunit ribosomal RNA", at positions 354 to 796 of the family's 1533-position model. The record is from RNAcentral.
GUGGGGAAUAUUGGACAAUGGGCGAAAGCCUGAUCCAGCCAUGCCGCGUGUGUGAAGAAGGUCUUCGGAUUGUAAAGCACUUUAAGUUGGGAGGAAGGGCAGUAAGUUAAUACCUUGCUGUUUUGACGUUACCGACAGAAUAAGCACCGGCUAACUUCGUGCCAGCAGCCGCGGUAAUACGAAGGGUGCAAGCGUUAAUCGGAAUUACUGGGCGUAAAGCGCGCGUAGGUGGUUUUGUAAGUUGGAGGUGAAAUCCACGGGCUCAACCUGGGAACUGACUCCAAAACUGCAUGACUAGAGUACGGUAGAGGGUAGUGGAAUUUCCUGUGUAGCGGUGAAAUGCGUAGAUAUAGGAAGGAACACCAGUGGCGAAGGCGACUACCUGGACUGAUACUGACACUGAGGUGCGAAAGCGUGGGGAGCAAACAGGAUUAGAAACCCGAGUAGUCC